RNAcentral lists this ribosomal RNA (260 nucleotides) under Escherichia coli. RNAcentral's name for it is "partial 23S ribosomal RNA". It matches the Rfam family "Bacterial large subunit ribosomal RNA", at positions 10 to 270 of the family's 2925-position model. Lineage: Bacteria; Pseudomonadati; Pseudomonadota; Gammaproteobacteria; Enterobacterales; Enterobacteriaceae. The record is from RNAcentral.
ACUAAGCGUACACGGUGGAUGCCCUGGCAGUCAGAGGCGAUGAAGGACGUGCUAAUCUGCGAUAAGCGUCGGUAAGGUGAUAUGAACCGUUAUAACCGGCGAUUUCCGAAUGGGGAAACCCAGUGUGUUUCGACACACUAUCAUUAACUGAAUCCAUAGGUUAAUGAGGCGAACCGGGGGAACUGAAACAUCUAAGUACCCCGAGGAAAAGAAAUCAACCGAGAUUCCCCCAGUAGCGGCGAGCGAACGGGGAGGAGCCC